This 88-nucleotide transfer RNA is filed under the name Megasphaera sp. ASD88. RNAcentral's name for it is "tRNA-Ser". It matches the Rfam family "tRNA". Rfam says of the family: Transfer RNA (tRNA) molecules are approximately 80 nucleotides in length. Their secondary structure includes four short double-helical elements and three loops (D, anti-codon, and T loops). Lineage: Bacteria; Bacillati; Bacillota; Negativicutes; Veillonellales; Veillonellaceae. The record is from RNAcentral.
GGGCGGUUGGCCGAGCGGUUGAAGGCACUUGUCUUGAAAACAAGCAGGCUGAAAAGUCUCGUAGGUUCGAAUCCUGCACCGUCCGCCA